GCUGAGGAAAUGGUCGGCCUGGUCAUGUGGCAGUGGAGGGCUGGGAAUGGAAGAGGUGGCUGUUAAGUCCUGAGCCUUUGGCCCUGGUCAGCUGUGCAGCCUUCCUACAUAUCUGGCCCCAGAUAACAGGCUGGUGCCUGCCCACUCAGUAAAUAAUAAAAUGACAGUAAUACCAGGGACAAAUUCUGUCUCUGCUGGGAAGGGCGCUUGCUCACAGGACACAAGACUAGGACUUCCAGCCCCACCCCUUGCUCUGCCCUACAGAAAACUUGCAGCUUCCUAGAAGGAGGGCCUGGGGACACUGCAAGAGUGUCUGACACUCCCUGGCUGCCUGUUCUGAGCCGCCGGUCUGGUCCCAGGCCUCCAUCACAGGUCACACCCUAAAAACCCAGGGUAUGAGAGGAGGAGAGCCCACCUCCACCCCAUAGAGGCUGUAUGGCAUAGGGAGGAGGGAAGGGCUCCGUCCUCUCUCAGGAGCACCCACUGUACGCAGGACGGCAAUCGAGAGAGCCUGAGGGUCUCUCCAGAUGCCACAGGAGGAUCCCAGAAGCAAAAGGCACAAAGGGCCGCAGGGGCCGCAGCACACGGGUCACGUCCACCCGCACCAGAUGUGGGGUCUCAGCCAGGGCGGCCGGGAGCACAGCUAGGAGCGCAAGUAGCGCGGCGCGGGGGCGCACAGCCGGGACAGUGGCGGCUCCGGGCCGCGGGGAAGACAUGGCCGGGGCGCGGUGUCCCACGGCCCCGAAGCCAGGAGCACAAGAAAGGAGGGUCGCACAGCUGGGGCAGGGGUCUCGCGGCCAGGAUGCAGGGCCGCUGGCGUAAUUCCUGGACCUGCCCGGCGUGGAUCCCACCAACUGCCCACUGAAAACAUUUUUUAAAAAAAACAAAACAAUGGGUUAGCUCACUGGCUCACACCUGUAAUCCUAGCACUCUGGGAGACUGAAGUGGGAGUGUCAUUUGAGCUCAGAAAUUGGAGACCAGCCUGAGCAAAGAGUGAGACUCCAUCUCUACGGAAAAAAAAAAAAAAAAAAAAAACAGAGAAACUGGGGCGGCACCUGUGGCUCAAGGAGUAGGGCGCCGGCCUCAUAUACCGGGGAUGGCGGGUUCGGCCCCAGCCAAAGAAAAAAACUGCAGAAAAAAAAAAAAAGAAAGAAAGAAAGAAAAGAAAAAACAAAAAUCA
Molecule: long non-coding RNA, 1180 nt
Organism: Nycticebus coucang (slow loris)
Lineage: Eukaryota; Metazoa; Chordata; Mammalia; Primates; Lorisidae
Exons: 2
Source: RefSeq, a predicted model, not a curated record